RNAcentral lists this ribosomal RNA (305 nucleotides) under uncultured bacterium. RNAcentral describes it as "bacterial SSU rRNA". It matches the Rfam family "Bacterial small subunit ribosomal RNA", at positions 335 to 658 of the family's 1533-position model. The record is from RNAcentral.
UGCCUACGGGGCGCAGCAGUGGGGAAUAUUGCACAAUGGGGGAAACCCUGAUGCAGCGACGCCGCGUGAGUGAAGAAGUAAUUCGUUACGUAAAGCUCUAUCAGCAGGGAAGAAAAUGACGGUACCUGAGUAAGAAGCCCCGGCUAACUACGUGCCAGCAGCCGCGGUAAUACGUAGGGGGCAAGCGUUAUCCGGAUUUACUGGGUGUAAAGGGAGCGUAGACGGUACGCCAAGUCUGAAGUGAAAUGCCGCAGCUUAACUGCGGAACUGCUUUUGAAACUGUGCGGCUAGAGUGUCGGAGGGGG